AAGAAGCUGCGUAGCUAACAUGGCUACAGGCUCUGAAGCCAGAACAAAGAAGGCUCCCUGCCAAGGUCAAGGAGGAGUCUUAGAAAGCUA
Neopelma chrysocephalum (saffron-crested tyrant-manakin) is the source of this 90-nucleotide long non-coding RNA. RefSeq lists it as uncharacterized. The record is from RefSeq and is a predicted model, not a curated record. The transcript is spliced from 3 exons. Lineage: Eukaryota; Metazoa; Chordata; Aves; Passeriformes; Pipridae.